Molecule: transfer RNA, 82 nt
Organism: Aspergillus cristatus
Lineage: Eukaryota; Fungi; Ascomycota; Eurotiomycetes; Eurotiales; Aspergillaceae
Rfam family: tRNA
About the family: Transfer RNA (tRNA) molecules are approximately 80 nucleotides in length. Their secondary structure includes four short double-helical elements and three loops (D, anti-codon, and T loops).
Source: Rfam
GACACUAUGGCCGAGUGGUCUAAGGCGGUAGAUUAGAAAUCUACUCUCUUCGGAGGCGUCGGUUCGAGUCCGACUGGUGUCG